This 450-nucleotide ribosomal RNA is filed under the name uncultured Glomeromycotina. RNAcentral describes it as "SSU rRNA". It matches the Rfam family "Eukaryotic small subunit ribosomal RNA", at positions 569 to 1022 of the family's 1831-position model. The record is from RNAcentral. Lineage: Eukaryota; Fungi; Glomeromycota.
AGCAGCCGCGGUAAUUCCAGCUCCAAUAGCGUAUAUUAAAGUUGUUGCAGUUAAAAAGCUCGUAGUUGAAUUUCGGAGUUUGUCGGUUGGUCGGGCUUCACUGUCCGCACUGGCCUGAUGGAUUCCUACCUUCUGAAUAACCAGCAUGCUAUUAAUUUAGUGCGUUGGGGAAGCAGAGCUAUUACCUUGAAAAAUUAGAGUGCUUAAAGCAGGCUUAUGCUUGAAUAGAUUAGCAUGGAAUAAUAAAAUAGGACGGCAUGGUUCUAUUUUGUUGGUUUCUAGGAUCACCGUAAUGAUUAAUAGGGAUAGUUGGGGGCAUUAGUAUUCAAUUGUCAGAGGUGAAAUUCUUGGAUUUAUUGAAGACUAACUUCUGCGAAAGCAUUUGCCAAGGAUGUUUUCAUUAAUCAAGAACGAAAGUUAGGGGAUCGAAGACGAUCAGAUACCGCCGUA